GCCUCUAUGGUCUAGUUGGUUAUGACGCCGAUCUCAUAGUUUCCGCUUUGGAGAAAUUCGGAGGUCCUGAGUUCGAUCCUCAGUGGGGGCA
Non-coding RNA from Ascosphaera acerosa, 91 nucleotides. Lineage: Eukaryota; Fungi; Ascomycota; Eurotiomycetes; Onygenales; Ascosphaeraceae. The record is from the annotation of a GenBank genome assembly.